UACGGAGGGGACUAGCGUUGUUCGGAAUUACUGGGCGUAAAGCGCACGUAGGCGGAUUUGUAAGUCAGGGGUGAAAUCCCGGGGCUCAACCUCGGAACUGCCUUUGAUACUGCAAAUCUCGAGUCCGGAAGAGGAGAGUGGAAUUCCUGGUGUAGCGGUGAAAUGCGCAGAUAUCAGGAAGAACACCCGUGGCGAAGGCGGCUCUCUGGGACGGUACUGACGCUGAGACGCGAAAGCGUGGGGAGCGAACAGG
This 253-nucleotide ribosomal RNA is filed under the name uncultured bacterium. RNAcentral describes it as "partial 16S ribosomal RNA". It matches the Rfam family "Bacterial small subunit ribosomal RNA", at positions 524 to 776 of the family's 1533-position model. The record is from RNAcentral.